GUUUGGAGUUUGUUAUUGUCUGGACACAACGGAACGAAGCGUUUUUUAAGAAACAUCUUUCGAAUACAACACAGUCUGCAAUCAACAUGAGCCGCGCUGUGGUUAUACUGAUGAUGCUUGUGGUAUUGUCCGUACUGUGUGAGGAUAUUAUUGAUGGAGCGAGAGUACACCACCGCGCCAUACAUGCACCCAGCACUGGAGGCAUAGAUUGGUUCAAGAGAAAUGGUGCGCGAAAGAUUGACUACAGACGGGCUAGUGGUAGAACACCGGGAAAUCCAUACAAGCAUUAGUUUACUAUAGUUGUAAUCUAAAUUAUGUAUUAGAAACUAAUAAAUAAAUGAUUAUGAGUUGCUCUUUAUCUUUAA
Molecule: long non-coding RNA, 365 nt
Organism: Saccoglossus kowalevskii
Lineage: Eukaryota; Metazoa; Hemichordata; Enteropneusta; Harrimaniidae
Source: RefSeq, a predicted model, not a curated record